UUCUUGUUAUUGAAAUUUUUAAUAAAUUCCAUGUUUAUUCUGUACUGAAAUGUUCUGUGCUGCGCACAACACUUUCUAUUACAAAGAAAAUAGUAUAUUUUCAAUAGAAUGUACUGUGCCGCGCACAACACUAUCUAACCAAAAUAUAUUGUAUGGAAAGUGUUAUUAACCGCUCAAAAGAUUAUAAUACCAAAUAAACAUGGAAUUUAUUAAAAAAAUUAAACACAAGAAAUUAUGCAAA
Molecule: long non-coding RNA, 241 nt
Filed under: Mytilus galloprovincialis (Mediterranean mussel)
Lineage: Eukaryota; Metazoa; Mollusca; Bivalvia; Mytilida; Mytilidae
Source: RNAcentral